Molecule: long non-coding RNA, 1673 nt
Organism: Anolis carolinensis (green anole)
Lineage: Eukaryota; Metazoa; Chordata; Lepidosauria; Squamata; Anolidae
Exons: 2
Source: RefSeq, a predicted model, not a curated record
AUGCUGAGAGGUCAGGGUAAAUUAGAAGGGCUGGAAAUAAGCACCCAGGGGGGCGUAUCCAAACUGGGGACCAUAGUGUGCCCAUGUCUGAUCUAGUUGGACAUGGUAUUUCAAGCUCCUCUAUGGUCUACUACUUUGUUUCACUUCUUUUUUAUAUAUGUAAACACUCAGCUAUAGGAAAUCAUGGGACUGAUGCAAUGUUUUAAAUGCCUUAAUGUUAAAUGUUUUAAUGUUUUAUGUUAAGUCUGAUGAUUUAUAGUUUUUAAUUAGCUUAUUUAUGGGGGGUUUUCCAUAUCAGGAGCGACUUGAGAAACUGCAAUUUGCUUCUGAUGUGUGAGAAUUUGCUGUGUGCCACGACAUUGCCCAGGGGACACCCGGAUGUUUUGAUGUUUUUACUAUCCUUGUGGGAGUCUUCUCUCAUGUCCCCGCAUGGGGAGCUGGAGCUCAUAGAGGGAGCACAUCCACACUCUCCCCAGGUUGGAUUUGAACUGGCAACCUUCAGGUCAGCAACCCAACCUUCAAGUCAUCAGUCCUGCCGGCACUGCACCACUGGGGGAUCCUAUUUAUUUAUGGUUAUAUGUAUUGAUUUUAUACAUGUAAUAUUUUCUUUUAUAUGAUUGUGAGGCAUUGAAUCUUGGCCAUUCAUUAUGUUGUUAAACCGCUUUGAGUCCCCUGGGGGUGAGAAAAGCAGUAUACAAAAUAAAUAAAUAUCCACCAGAACAAUCUAACUUAAACUUGUAUGCUCACUUUCAUUUCUUUAAAGUCUUCUUAAACUAACAACACACUUCCUUUCCCCUCUGUUCCCCCUUGCCAUUAGCAUCCUGGCACACUUUAUUGCAUCAUCUCACCCACUCUUCCUUUUAUCCAAAGCCUCACUGUAGAAAGUAUUUAACAUUCUCUUUGGACUAACCAGCUUUUACUUUCUGAUCCCUCUUCCCUCCCCCUUGCCCUUCAUUCUUGAAGCAACUCAGCUUUCCCUGCUCUGGAAACUUCUAUCUGUAAAUAAGGCUGGUAACCUAGCAACGCCAAGUGAAUAAUACAUCUUCCCUGCUGUGUAACUCUGAUGCAUAAUCAAAUCAUCCCUUUCUUUCAUUUGAAACAUUAACGUUCACUUUAAGGUACACGAUGCAUAUUUACCCAUACAUUCUUGAUGGGGGGAAAUAGCAUUGCUGCCGUUCCUUCUGUGCAGUCUUUCUGGCUUCCUACAAAAUUUUGAACAAGAAGCAGUGCAACACAAGGGAAGACAACUCUUCCAUGCAUUUAUGGUUCAGGACUAACUUUCAGGUGGUGUCCUAGAUUCUCUUUUGCUUCAGAAAACAAAUGGUCUGAGUGCUGUCCUUGCCUAGCGCUCACACAGCAUGCUUCUCUAGAUAACAAUUGCUGUCUGAACAAUAAGGAAAGAGAAGGCAAAAAUCAAAGUGCUGGGAAGAGAAAAAUCAAUCUACUUGUAGGAGGCCACAACCCUCUACAUUGGUUUUUUGAGGCCCAUAAACCGCAGUUUGAUGACAGAAGCUUUUCACACACUUCAUGUUUGUUCUCAUCUUUCCCUCUUGUAUGUAUUCUUUUAAGUUCUUUGGGCAAUGAGCAACAACUGAAGCUUUCCACAUAGACUAGGUUUUCAGCUGGCUUGUCUCCUAUCGGAAGUCUCUUAAUAAAAAAAUUGCUAUUUUUUA